Molecule: RNA transcript, 4771 nt
Organism: Lethenteron reissneri (Far Eastern brook lamprey)
Lineage: Eukaryota; Metazoa; Chordata; Hyperoartia; Petromyzontiformes; Petromyzontidae
Gene name: solute carrier family 46 member 2-like
Source: RefSeq, a predicted model, not a curated record
CUUUGCCUUGGUGCCGCUGUCACGGUUUCCGCGUUCGAGUGAAGCCGCCGCGUGAAGUUGGAGGGCAGCGGGGAUGUUUGCGAGCGGGCUCCUUGCUCCACAACCUCGUUGCCAGACAACCUGCGCAGGUGGUUCGCCAACCCGCCCGCGUGCGCGCGCGCAACCGAAGAGGUCGGCCGCUUGCACAGAACGGUGCGAAAUAAGUUCAACAUGACAUGAACCAAAAACAGGACGCGGCUGUGUUUUUUCAGAAAGUUGGCGAAUUAGCGAAGCGUGCGUGCGGGGGCAGAGGCGGGUGAAUGAUGAGCGUUGUGCCCUUGGUGCCGUGAAACGAGAAUUGGAGAGGAACGAACAAAAAUCGGGGUUUUUUUCUUUCUCGCGGCCGCGGGAAGUGAGCAGAGCGGAGAGUUGCGAGGACCGGACACACCUGGACAGGUGUGCGGAGCACACUCACGCACAGAUGCCCUACAUGGAAGUUCUGGGGCGCUCGGCCGAGCCGGUCGCCUUCCUCUCGGGUCUGGCGUCCUCCCUCGUGGGUCCGACCAUCCUCAUGCUGGUGUACGAGCGAAGCGGAGCGACACUGGACAGCCGACACGACGGCUCCGACGGCACGACGCACGUGGCCUGCGGCGGCGGCGGCAAUGCCACGACGCUGGCGGGCUCGGAAGACGACGCCCAAAAACGCGCCUCGCAGUUCUUCAUGUUCUACAACAUCGCCUCGAGCGUGAGCGCCAUGGUGCCCAGCCUCGUCAUGGGUCAGCUGGGAGACCUGCUGAGUCGACGGCUGCUGCUGGUGGUGCCCCUGCUGGGCACCUUGUUGUCCCAGCUGCUCCUGCUCUUCGUGGUCGGCGUGAACAUGCCCCUGCAGUGGCUCUACGGCUACGUGCUCAUCUCGGGCCUCACCGGGGGUUCCUCGACGCUCUGGGCCGGGGCCAACGCAUACGCGGCCCAAGCAGCCCGGACACCGCCGCCAAGCUCGCAAGUCGGGCGGAGUGACGAGGAUAGGCCAGGAGGGGAUCACGACGGUGACGACGGCGACGCCGAGGCGUCGGAGGGCGCCCCGUUGUUCUCCGACCGUUCGCGAAGCCACGCGGCCGGCACCGGCUACGGCAGCGCGGCCGCCGCGAUCGACGACGGCAGAGGGCCCGGGGGCGGCCUCUGUGACGUCGGAGAGGCGCCGUCGUCCAAUCAGGGAACGGCUCGGCAGGGGCGCGGGAUUCAAACGCCCGUGCGGCACGGGCGCAGCUCACGCAGGCUCAUGUUGCUCGAGCUGUCGUUUGGCUUGGCGGCCACGCUGGGCAGCAUCGCCUCGGGACACGUCUUCGCCAACUUCAGGCUGCCGCUUUCGUUCAAACACGGCUCGUUUUCAGUGCUGGCCGCGAUGUUCAUGUACACGCUGGCAAUCUUCUACUCGCUCUUCGUGCUCAAAGACGUCAGGCCGCAGGCGACGGCCAGAGAGGCCAGCAGGGUCACCCUGAAGGGAGUCCUCCACGUCUACAGAUUUGGGAUGUUCAAGCCAGGUGGCCCCAGCGAUCAGCGCACGGUCUUCGUCCUGCUCUUCACUAGCGCCAUGCUCUACCAGCUGGUGGUGCGCGCCUUCGUCGACUUUCUGGGACUCUUCAUGCUCCGCUCGCCACUCUGCUUUGGGCCGGACCUCGUGGGCUACGCCACGGCCAUUGGCUGCUGCAUCUACAUCAGCAGCUUCCUCGCCAACCUGAUGCUGUCGCGCUGCUGGACGGACCAGGCGUUAGCCAUGAUGGGUGUCGCGUCCUUCUGCGUGGGCACCUUGGUGAUGACCUUCAUCAAGACGAUGCCGAUGUUCUUCGUAGCAAGGGUCUUGAUGCAGUUAUCUUUGAUGCCUCUACCCAACAUUCGCUCUUCCAUGGCAAAAAUCACUGACCCGCAGUGGCUGGGUAAGCUGUGGGGAUCAAGAUUGGCAUUUACAGGACAUACGUGUACGUCAUCAGUUUUCUUCCGAUUACAUUCCGAUGACGCACGGUGUUCACUCUGCUCGCGUGUGCAAUGAGCCUUGUCCGGGUGCUCGGGUCCAUAAUGUUCAACUACAUUUACAAGGAAAGCCUGGAGCUGCCCUUCUGCCUGCCCUUCUUGAUCUCUGGCAUCGUGGGAGCCACCAUCCUCCUCCCACUUGGGGUUGUUUGGUGGAAGAAGGGGCAGUGGCGGCGAACGGAGCCUUCUUCUCCGCAGCAGAGAACGUGAAUGCCUUUUCCUCGCCAUUUCCUAAAAGCCCCAAGACGCCAGAGGGCUGCCAACAGACGGAGCGAUUAAAGUUGGAAUGCGUAAAGAGUUGAUGCGUUUCUUGCACCGAGGCUUGUGCGUUAACUCGGGGAAUGCUUGCAACAGGUAUAACAUGGAAGUAUGAAUGUAAUAGUGAACUGCAGUCUGUACCGAUGUGAAUCGCCUCCGAUCCUAGGUUAGUAAUAUUAAAUCAAUUGUACAUGGGGGGGGGGGGGGGGGUGUGAAUAUAAUCCUAUUUAAGUGAAGGUGUCAUCGGUGUUUUGUAAUUUUCUACUGUUCCGGUAAUAUUAAGAUGUACACAAGCAUGCACAACAAAUGUUAAGUUUGUUUACGAGCGGUUAUACAGGGACUCCUCUACUUACGAACAUUUGACUUACGAACUUUCAAAGGUACAAAUAUUUCAUAUGUCCAGUUGCCUGUUCGGACCGAUAAUCGUAAGUUCAAACGCCGUACAAUAGAUGGUGGUGGUGGCAUCUAAAUCUACAAAACACGAAAGAAUCAGAGGCAUUUACAUCUACAGGAGAUUAUACAACUUUUAAAGCCAUUCCCCGUGUUUAGUGUACAUGCAGUACGCCAUGUUUUGGAAUCGAUGAGAGUAAAGUUGGACUUACGAACAAAUCGACUUUCGAACAGACCUCUGGAACCCCACUAGUUUGUAAGUAGAGGAGUCCCUGUAUUAAGCAUUGUGCAAAACUGUCCUCUUUAAACAAUGCACUUCAAUUUCGAUUUAAAGCUUUCGCGACUGCAGGGAUUCAUCUUCUUGGUUCUUUCGGUAAAGUCACGUAGAAGGAAAAUAAUAAAAAUAAAACAUAAUAAAAUACAAUUCUCACGACGUUUCAGCCACAACGCAAGCAGCCGUCCUCAGGUGAAGAACAGGUCUGUCGGAAAGACAGACCUGGCCGAAACGUCGUGAGAAUUGUAUUUUAUUGUUUUAUUUUUAUUUUCCUUCUACGUGACUUUACCGAAAGAACCAAGAAGAACAAUGCACUUCAAUCAAUAUUUGAAACAUGCGCCAAUGACUUCAUGCAUGCGUGAAUAUCCGAAACCAGGGUUUCCCAAACUCCAGUCCUCGCCACGCAUCACGUGCUACGUCUUUCUGCGUUCACCAAUGCACUCCACGUUGAAAUUAAAAGUAUUUGGCUGUUGCUAUGAAUGUCCACGUGAUAAGCCACUGUGGGUGAGCUGCUACCAUUUGUGAUGGACAGGUCGCUUAUGAUAAAGAGCUGCAUCGGCUCAGUGAGCCUUACCUGGUGAAAUAAAAAAAAAAAGUUUAAAUCAGAAAUAAUUCCCCGAGCCUGAUGAGUUGUAAACACACAUCCCAACGCAGUUUCUUGCCGAGGCGUCUUGAACUGAUGGUCUGUCCGCCAAUGAUGGAACAAGAAAGUAAAAAGAACCCACAUUAAAUAUUGUCCUGCACUUAAUUUGGAUGUCAGCUCUGACACUUUAAAUAUCAGUUUGACCCACGCAAUGGACAUGACUGUCACAUGCAGGACAGGUGGGGAAGUGCAUCUCCCUUUUACUGCGGACCAGGGGUCGCUUGAUGGGACCUCGAGAGGCAGCAGCCUCACGAUUGUCCUCGUGGUGUUGCAACGCUGUGGGAGAUCCGAAAGGACACUUCAUCACACGAGACGAGGCUGAUGGCGGCAAUUUUAGGAAAUAACAGGGGGAGGGAAAACGACAGCAGAAACAACACCAACGACUGAAGAGAAAAUAUCAACCAGAAAGUAAAACUAUCCCUUGCGAAAGCAAACACGCAGUUGUGAGCUCUUGGCGGAAUUUCUAGAUCCCCAGCAAGGUUUUACAAACCGGUCACACCAGUUAUCGACAGAAACAACAACAACAAAGGGUAUAAGUGUGUUUAUUACAAACUACUGUACAAAUCACAAAGCAUAACCAUCGCAAUCCGCCGUAUCACGUGUUUUACAUCUACACCAUAAAUUAGUGGGUGUUGCGGAUAGUAUAUAUAUUUUUUUCUUUUUUGCACAAGUAACACGUCUACAAAAACAGCGGUUUACAUUGCGGGUAAACGGCGAAUUCAGAUGGCACACCGCGUGUUUUAACACUGUGCAGCAUAUACAAAGACCAGGUCGUGGCAAGCGCCGUGCACGGGAUUUGGAAUUUUGCCCAUCACAAAAUGUAAUAAAUGUAAUCAGUCAGCGAAGGGUCAUACAAAACGACCGUUACAUAUUGGAUGUCUUGUCAUGGUGGCAAUAAUUACAGCACGUCAUGUAGUGGUGUAAUAUUUGUUUAUUUAAGCCCUUGAAAAUGAGCUUUACUCGGGGAAAAUCAACUUUGAUGCUGACAAGCCGUGGUCCGACUUGGACAAUAAAACAUUUCCAAGCCGAGAAAUGCACCAUGCGGAUUCCAGUAUCUUCACGUUAUACAUUUUAAUGUGGGUUAACAUUUGCAUGGGAUUAAUCGUUUGUGAAUUUUAACAACGUAUAUUCACUUAUAAUAUAUAUUCGAAGUUAACACUUGUUUUGUAAAAUAAAAAGAUGAACAACUUUCAAGCAAA